GACGAACGCUGGCGGCGUGCUUAACACAUGCAAGUCGAACGGAAAGGCCGUGCUUUUGUGGGGUGCUCGAGUUGCGAACGGGUGAGUAACACGUGAGUAACCUGCCCUUGACUUUGGGAUAACUUCAGGAAACUGGGGCUAAUACCGGAUAGGAGUUCCUGCUGCAUGGUGGGGGUUGGAAAGUUUCGGCGGUUGGGGAUGGACUCGCGGCUUAUCAGCUUGUUGGUGGGGUAGUGGCUUACCAAGGCUUUGACGGGUAGCCGGCCUGAGCGGGUGACCGGCCACAUUGGGACUGAGAUACGGCCCAGACUCCUACGGGAGGCAGCAGUGGGGAAUAUUGCACAAUGGGCGGAAGCCUGAUGCAGCAACGCCGCGUGCGGGAUGACGGCCUUCGGGUUGUAAACCGCUUUCGCCUGUGACGAAGCGUGAGUGACGGUAAUGGGUAAAGAAGCACCGGCUAACUACGUG
This 468-nucleotide ribosomal RNA is filed under the name uncultured bacterium. RNAcentral's name for it is "partial 16S ribosomal RNA". It matches the Rfam family "Bacterial small subunit ribosomal RNA", at positions 28 to 507 of the family's 1533-position model. The record is from RNAcentral.